Perognathus longimembris pacificus (Pacific pocket mouse) is the source of this 106-nucleotide small nuclear RNA. The record is from RefSeq and is a predicted model, not a curated record. Lineage: Eukaryota; Metazoa; Chordata; Mammalia; Rodentia; Heteromyidae.
GACCACUUUGGCAGCACGUAUACUAAAAUUGGAAUAGCACAGAGAAGAAUAGCAUGGCCCUUGUGCCAAGGAUGGUACACAAAUUCAGGAAGCAUUCCCUAUUUUA